AAUAACAAGAGAAGUUAUGGUAUUUAUUUCCUGGGAAAUAAAUUUAAAAGGGAAAGAGGUUAAAAGCCUCUACAGCCCCCGCUACUGUAAAGGGUGACGAAUUCUAAUGAUCCACUGGGUUUACUGGGAAGGAAGAAGGAGGAUGAACCCUAAGUCAGGAGACCUGCCUAAUUUUUUAUAGCUAA
RNAcentral lists this non-coding RNA (185 nucleotides) under Clostridium intestinale. The record is from RNAcentral. RNAcentral also lists the same sequence under 1 other name. Lineage: Bacteria; Bacillati; Bacillota; Clostridia; Eubacteriales; Clostridiaceae.